This 484-nucleotide ribosomal RNA is filed under the name uncultured bacterium. RNAcentral describes it as "bacterial SSU rRNA". It matches the Rfam family "Bacterial small subunit ribosomal RNA", at positions 29 to 507 of the family's 1533-position model. The record is from RNAcentral.
AUGAACGCUGGCGGCGUGCUUAACACAUGCAAGUCGAACGAAGCAAUUUAUCUAGAUCCCUUCGGGGGUGACGGAUUUAUUGACUGAGUGGCGGACGGGUGAGUAACGCGUGGGUAACCUGCCUUAUACAGGGGGAUAACAGUUAGAAAUGACUGCUAAUACCGCAUAAGCGCACAGUACCGCAUGGUACAGUGUGAAAAGCCGAGACGGUAUGAGAUGAGCUCGCGUCUGAUUAGAUAGUUGGUGAGGUAACGGCUCACCAAGUCGACGAUCAGUAGCCGGACUGAGAGGUUGAACGGCCACAUUGGGACUGAGACACGGCCCAGACUCCUACGGGAGGCAGCAGUGGGGAAUAUUGCACAAUGGGCGCAAGCCUGAUGCAGCAACGCCGCGUGAGGGAUGACGGUCUUCGGAUUGUAAACCUCUGUCCUUGGUGACGAAACAAAUGACGGUAGCCAUGGAGGAAGCCACGGCUAACUACGUG